RNAcentral lists this ribosomal RNA (689 nucleotides) under Staphylococcus aureus. RNAcentral describes it as "partial 23S ribosomal RNA". It matches the Rfam family "Bacterial large subunit ribosomal RNA", at positions 444 to 1135 of the family's 2925-position model. Lineage: Bacteria; Bacillati; Bacillota; Bacilli; Caryophanales; Staphylococcaceae. The record is from RNAcentral.
CUGGGAGGACCAUCUCCUAAGGCUAAAUACUCUCUAGUGACCGAUAGUGAACCAGUACCGUGAGGGAAAGGUGAAAAGCACCCCGGAAGGGGAGUGAAAUAGAACCUGAAACCGUGUGCUUACAAGUAGUCAGAGCCCGUUAAUGGGUGAUGGCGUGCCUUUUGUAGAAUGAACCGGCGAGUUACGAUUUGAUGCAAGGUUAAGCAGUAAAUGUGGAGCCGUAGCGAAAGCGAGUCUGAAUAGGGCGUUUAGUAUUUGGUCGUAGACCCGAAACCAGGUGAUCUACCCUUGGUCAGGUUGAAGUUCAGGUAACACUGAAUGGAGGACCGAACCGACUUACGUUGAAAAGUGAGCGGAUGAACUGAGGGUAGCGGAGAAAUUCCAAUCGAACCUGGAGAUAGCUGGUUCUCUCCGAAAUAGCUUUAGGGCUAGCCUCAAGUGAUGAUUAUUGGAGGUAGAGCACUGUUUGGACGAGGGGCCCCUCUCGGGUUACCGAAUUCAGACAAACUCCGAAUGCCAAUUAAUUUAACUUGGGAGUCAGAACAUGGGUGAUAAGGUCCGUGUUCGAAAGGGAAACAGCCCAGACCACCAGCUAAGGUCCCAAAAUAUAUGUUAAGUGGAAAAGGAUGUGGCGUUGCCCAGACAACUAGGAUGUUGGCUUAGAAGCAGCCAUCAUUUAAAGAGUGCGU